This 470-nucleotide long non-coding RNA is filed under the name Monodelphis domestica (gray short-tailed opossum). RNAcentral's name for it is "lncRNA (ENSMODG00000036501.1)". Lineage: Eukaryota; Metazoa; Chordata; Mammalia; Didelphimorphia; Didelphidae. The record is from RNAcentral.
CAAAGCCUUCUCCCUCGGCUGCCAGUCCACGGAAGCAAAGAAAGAAGAGCGUGAGGAGGUGGGGGAGGGGAAGGAGAAUCGAAGGAAUCUCCGGGAAAGGGGUAUGGGUCUGGGACAGGAGGCCAGAAACUGCCUGGGAACUCUUCUUUGUAUUGAUUCGACUGGGAAAUAUUGGGAGAAGAAAUUGGCUCCUCUAGUCUCAAAGUACAAACGGUGAGUAAAUCACCCUACUGGCUGAAGCAUCCUCCCUCUUCUCAGCGAGAAGCCGGAUUAAGGACCAGGUGGUUCCUCCUACUUGAGAGCAAGUCUGGGCCAGCUGGGAACCGACCAGAAACCACAAGCAGAGGAGACAGAGCUAACGGCAGGGAUGGGAGAGAAAUUCAAACCUCUUCUCUGUAGCGAGAGGAAUGUAAAAAGGGACCUAUUUGGGUAACCACAAAUAGCAACCGCACCAUCUUUUCAGCCACAUU